UUGUAAUACAAAAUACAUUCUUUAAUCAUUUAAACAUUGUAAAUAUACACUGGGGGUGGGGGGGGGGGGGGAUUUCUGUCAAGUGGGAAAUAGGGCACCAAGUUUCAAUGUCAUUUUUUUUUCUUUCAGGAACAACUGUAGAAAACAAGUGCACAAUAAGGACUCAUUAAAGGCGACUUGAACAAAACAUUUAAAGGUGUUCUAAAAAAAAUAAUUUAAUAGUAAUAAUUCUCUAUGGAGAUAUCUUAAAUGCCACUGUAUAGACAAAAGUGAAGAUGUAAAAUAGGCUUUCUGCACUUAAAUGUACGCAAACUCUCCUAUAAAAGGAGCUUUACAUGCUUCCACAACGUCUGCUUUUAAUCAAGGCUCUGUACCAAACGCACAGCCUCCAUACUUCCCAUCAUCAUAUGUACAUGAUAUACAAUUCCUUUUAAAUACAUUUCAUUUCAGUUUCCUUGUUAUUUACAAUAAGAGCUUAUUACUUCUUUAUGAACUGUUAGGAAAAUACAAUACAAAAAAAAAAUAUUCACAAAAUAGACCAUUUGUAAUUAGAAUGAAUAUUAUUGGCUACAGUUAUUUCAUCUAAAAUUCACAAUCAUAAGGCAUUGCUGUGAAUCUACAGAUUCUUUUAAAUGACCUAUACACAAAAGUCUCAAGCUGUAAACAAGUUUUUUUUUUUUUUUUUUUUUUUUUAGAAUUCUAAAGUCUUGUACACAAAGUGAAUCUGUAGAAAGUAUGGAUGAAGGAGUUAUGCAACUUUAAUAAGAAAGGCAUUCGGUGUUCUCUUAUUGAUCACUCUGUGAUACUGUAGUAAUAUUUUCUCACUGACCCAUACAGUAUAUCCGGCAUUUUAAGACUAGAUCUGUAAUCCGAACCCGAUCCUGUAAUCCUGUAUUCGCCAUAUUUGGAAGGUGUUGUCACGAGUCGAUAAUGUUUCAUGUGUUCGUGCUUUCGUGAUGGCAACGGAUGUUGCCAAGUGAAAACAGACUAAGAUCAUAAGAUCCUGCCUCGUACAAAUAGGCAACAUCUGUAAAACAAACAGCAGUGCCUGAUUCCUGGAUGCAUUCUCAAUGCAUAUUUUAGCUAUUAAUGGCAUUCUAUGGGGGGGAAAAAAGGGAAAGGGAAAAACACAGUUUCAGAGAACUAUGCUUUGUUUCACAGAGUACUACCCUGUAGUUUACCAUAUCCUCAAUUUGCUCUUUAGUUGAAACCAUAUACAUGGACAUUGAGAACAUGUAAACUGUAACCCACGCCGCUGGUCGCUAAUGGCUGUAUUCAGAGUUGACUUAAGCACAUGCAGUGAGGAUUUCAUACAGAAAUUGUGCAUUUAGAACUCAGACUGAACUUAAGCACCAUUUAGAAACCGCAUGAGAAAAACAAAGGCGUGUGUCAGUUACGCACAAUUCUCAAACCAAUUUUCUCGCAUGAUAUCAGCUCGAGUGAGGAGCAGUAAUAAGUCCAGUGCUAUUAUCUGACAGUUUAACGUAACCACAGUAUGUCAUGAUUUGGGCUGCAAAUGCACAAAAAAAUGACGUAGUGCAAUUUGAGGCCAAUAUUAAAUACAUAAAAUUGGCACUAUUAAUUAUUUAAUAGUAUCAUCCCUUUAAAGAUAUUGUUUUUUUUGUUUUUUUUAGUGUAAAGUUAUGAAUUAAAUUAAAGUGAGCUUAAAGGGUAGCAGAUGAAUGUUUGGAAAGCUUAUCCUGCAAACCGUGGACUUUUUUUCCUUUUUCUUUUUUUUCUUCUUUUUUUUUUUUUUUUUACAGGAAAGCACAUCGAAUUAACAAAAACAUUGGCAUUAUUUUAUCAAUUUUAUUAAACAAAUCAAAAUAGCAUGAUCAAAUAACCAAUAUCCUGUGCACACAUUAGGAUUUCAUGACCUCCUGGCUACAUUAAGUCGUCAUUAAGCACAAUAUCAAUAAAUAAAAGGUAAAAUGAUAGGAUGUGCUGGAUCAAGUGCUAUUUUAUUAGCUUACAAAUAUCUCCCCACUUAAAUAUUGAUGUAAAGCGUGGACUUAAGUCACCAACACUGAAUACAGCCCUAAAUCAGUAAAGCAGCACUGAGGCAUGGUUCACUUCUGUAGAUUCAGACGAUGCCGAGACUAAGUGACUGUGCGCUAUUUUUUUUUUUUUUUUGAGACAAUAUACAAAACGAGUGCUUAUAAAAAAAAAGUAAUAUAAGCAAUGAGAUGUGGUAGACCUAACAGACAUGAACAUGUGGUUAUAUAGUUGAUGGUGUUACAGAACAGUAAGAGAUUAUGUUUUUGUGGAAUCCAUGGAACAUAGUGGUUAUUUCUGAUAGAUUAUCCUGAAGCCUGGCAGAACGUGUAUGAAAUAUGUGUGCUUCUCCUCACUGGAUAACUCAGUCCUGUUUUUCGAAUAUGCUGUCAAGCCUAAAUUCCUACAGACAUUGAAAUCAUUUCAUUACCUCAUUACCUGUUGUUAAGGCUUUGGCUUUCAUAUAAAUCUCUUCAAAACAUGUGCAGCAAAAAAAAUAAUAAAUCAUGAAAAGACAGCUAUAUCUGAUCAUGAACCUCAUUCAUCGAUAGUGAACGUCAAUCCUCUAUUACAAACCCACAAACACACAAACACACACACACACACACACACACACACACACACACACACACACACACACACACACACACACACACACACGCACGCACACUGGCCCAGAUUAAUCUCUGUCUCACUGUAAUCUCCUCUCAUUUAUCCAUGAUUCCCCUUCACGUUUUUUCUGAGUCCUGGGAAGAGGGAGUCCUUUCCACAUCGCUCCCUGGAGGGAACGAAGGACCUAUCGGUGAAGCUCCCUCGUUCGCCGCUGCUCCCUAGUUCCUCUCAGGUCCGCUGGCACAUGUGCAGUCUGGACCUGGAGUAGGACGUGGCAUCCUUCCACACUUUGCACACCAGGCCUUUGGCACAGUCGCAGCGCUGAAAGAUCUCCAAGUUGUGUGAGCCUUUCUUGCGCUGUUUGGUGCACACUUCGCCUUGGCGCAGCACCGGCUUGCAGAUCUUGGUCCAGAAGUGGCGGGCACAGCAGUAACCCUCUGAACAGUCUGAGGAACGCAGACAAGCGUCGCCCUCAUGACCUACGCACAAACCAUGGGGAUGAACCCAGUUAAACAUUUUAGCAUUGUCAUGUAUUAUGUUGAAAUGCUGAAACAAUCCAGUAAAAUAAUGACAUGUCAAAGGAACAC
Long non-coding RNA from Ictalurus punctatus (channel catfish), 3194 nucleotides. The record is from Ensembl. Lineage: Eukaryota; Metazoa; Chordata; Actinopteri; Siluriformes; Ictaluridae.